GCAGCCUGGCGGAAACGACCCGCCCUCCCGAUCCCGGGACCUUCUAGCUCUGGAUGCUCACAUAUAUUCUGAGCUUCCUGCCUCUGUCAGAUCAGAAAGAGGCCUCCCUCGUGAGCUGGGCUUGGUACCGUGCCGCCCAGAAUGCCCUUCGGGAGCAACCAGGCCUUACCUCCCUGGACCUCAGUGGCUGCUCAGAACUGACUGAUGGGGCGCUCUUGGCCGUGAGCCGUGGCCUGCGGCACCUGCGGCGCCUGAGCCUGGGGAAGCUGCAGCGGCUGACAGACGCAGGAUGUACAGCUCUGGGUGGCCUGCAGGAGCUGCAGAGCCUCGACAUGGCCGAGUGCUGUCUGGUGAGAGGGCGGGAACUGGCCCAGGCCCUGAGCUCUGUGCACGGGGCUCCAUCCCAGCUGGCCUCCCUCAGCCUGGCCCACUGUUCUUCAUUGAAGUCACGCCCAGAGCUGGAGCAUCAGGCCUCAGGUACCAAGGACCCCUGUCCCGAGCCACAGGGCCCCUCCCUGCUCAUGCUGCGGGCCCUGCAGGAGUUGGACCUCACAGCCUGCAGCAAGCUGACCGAUGCCAGUUUAGCCAAGGUGCUCCAGUUUCCCCAGCUGAGGCAGCUGUCCCUUAGCCUGUUGCCAGAACUCACAGACAACGGCUUGGUGGUUGUGGCCAGGGGCUGUCCUAGCCUGGAGCACUUGGCGCUGAGUCACUGCAGCCGCCUCAGUGACAAGGGCUGGGCCCAGGCAGCCAGCUCCUGGCCGAGGCUGCAGUAUCUCAAUCUGUCCAGCUGCAGUCAGCUCA
RNAcentral lists this small RNA (801 nucleotides) under Pongo abelii (Sumatran orangutan). RNAcentral's name for it is "processed transcript". The record is from RNAcentral. Lineage: Eukaryota; Metazoa; Chordata; Mammalia; Primates; Hominidae.